Molecule: long non-coding RNA, 325 nt
Organism: Grammomys surdaster
Lineage: Eukaryota; Metazoa; Chordata; Mammalia; Rodentia; Muridae
Exons: 4
Source: RefSeq, a predicted model, not a curated record
GGGGAAGACGGCAGAACAGCUCUUUGAUGCGUCUCUGAGAAAGAUUGUGGAAGAGCUGAAGCACAGCAGCUGCCAGGAGGUCCUGGAGAAGUAUGACUCCUUCUCCACCAAGGAGUACCUGAUCAAGGUGGGGAACCUGAGCCGCGGGGCCGUGCAGAUGAUUGGCGACAUGCUGAACACAGACUCCGGUUACUACGAGGCCUUUACUGAGACCCUGCGUGGCAUCAUCUCCUUUUUCCAAGAGCCCCGGUUCGAUGAAAUCGUUGGAGGCUUUGACCAACUCCCCCAGGCCCUGCACGAUUCUCUCCUCCCAGGGACUGUCCGG